Molecule: long non-coding RNA, 976 nt
Organism: Arachis duranensis
Lineage: Eukaryota; Viridiplantae; Streptophyta; Magnoliopsida; Fabales; Fabaceae
Exons: 7
Source: RefSeq, a predicted model, not a curated record
ACAAUAUGCUCACUCCAUGUGCAAACAGUAGUAGACUGAAGCGUAAGAUGUCUGUGAAACAAACUCAAUGCAGUGAAGAGGAUGAAGAGCCAAGAGAACGUGAUAGUAAAAUUGGAGAAGUGGACAAGGUGCUUGGUUCUCCACAGGAUCAUAAUGUUAGGUCUCGUGCCAUAUUUAUACUGGAAAACGCUUCACUCAAGAAAGGACUCGUUAGAAAGGAGUGGAAAAUCCUCAAUUCGCAUGAUGAUGCCAACCUUCUGUUGAAGCAAAACAAGAAUCUUAAUGAUUAUGGACCUGAUAUUGUUUUUGAGGCACUCCGGAGUAUUAUGGAUAGUCCACUUAAUAAAUAUGGUUUGGUGGGUUCUAUAUUCAUAAAAAUUUAUUUGAAAUCAAGCCACAUGUUCGCAUUCCUCGAACUUGCAAACGAUUCUGUGGUCUAAUAGUGGAUUUGCUUCGAAAGUCUUGUGUUCGUGCUAAAGAUACAGAUGAGGUACUUAUUCGUGUUCUUGAAGAGCCUGUGACACGUCAUUUACCAGUCAAUUAUCAUAUUAUAGGCCUAUCUUAUAGCUCAGAAAUGUUGGUCGACAUAGAUGACUAUGUCUGUGACCUAAGUGAUGACGUGACUCCUGUUUUUGUGGUGGGUGCGAUGGUAAAUGGAAAAGUAAAAAGGGACAAUACACAUGAUUACAUUUCUGUUUCUGAUUAUCCACUUGGUGCAAAAUGCUGCGUAGGCCUUAUCUGUGAUGCAUUGGAGCAGAAGUGGAAGCUAUUCUGAAAAUUGGUCAAUCAAUAAAAUGUAUAUAUUAAAAGAAAAGGGUUUUAAGUAAAUAGUCAAAAUGCUAAUUUUACCUUAUCAUGUUAAGAGUCCUGUCGGGUCUCUUAAAUCAUUCAAGUUAUAGUUAGUUUUUUUGGUACUGCUUACACACUAGUCAAAUACAUUCAUUAGUACUCUCGGCUGAUCUUUCUUGUAUUUUCG